RNAcentral lists this long non-coding RNA (245 nucleotides) under Phaseolus vulgaris (common bean). Its description in RNAcentral is "long non-coding RNA (PVUL_LNC002990)". The record is from RNAcentral. Lineage: Eukaryota; Viridiplantae; Streptophyta; Magnoliopsida; Fabales; Fabaceae.
GUCAAAGCAUUUAAUGAAGGAGCGUAUUCAGUUAGAAAUCAUUUAAACUAGAUUCACCAUUCAAAAUUGAAUUCUGUUAGGAUUUUCAAAGAAACAAUCGGUUGAAAUCACGAAACAAUCGAUUGUUUUGGUUUGACAGUUAAGUCAACCAAACCAAACAACUUUCAACCUUUUUCAAAAACUCCUAAGAGUAAAAUAACUGGUUGAUUUGACAAAACAACAGGUUGUUUUUCACUUAUUUGGAU